This 465-nucleotide ribosomal RNA is filed under the name Vreelandella stevensii. Its description in RNAcentral is "partial 16S ribosomal RNA". It matches the Rfam family "Bacterial small subunit ribosomal RNA", at positions 338 to 795 of the family's 1533-position model. Lineage: Bacteria; Pseudomonadati; Pseudomonadota; Gammaproteobacteria; Oceanospirillales; Halomonadaceae. The record is from RNAcentral.
CCUACGGGUGGCUGCAGUGGGGAAUAUUGGACAAUGGGCGAAAGCCUGAUCCAGCCAUGCCGCGUGUGUGAAGAAGGCCUUCGGGUUGUAAAGCACUUUCAGUGGGGAAGAAAGCCUUGGGGCUAAUACCCUCGAGGAAGGACAUCACCCACAGAAGAAGCACCGGCUAACUCCGUGCCAGCAGCCGCGGUAAUACGGAGGGUGCGAGCGUUAAUCGGAAUUACUGGGCGUAAAGCGCGCGUAGGCGGUCUGAUAAGCCGGUUGUGAAAGCCCCGGGCUCAACCUGGGAACGGCAUCCGGAACUGUCAGGCUAGAGUGUAGGAGAGGAAGGUAGAAUUCCCGGUGUAGCGGUGAAAUGCGUAGAGAUCGGGAGGAAUACCAGUGGCGAAGGCGGCCUUCUGGACUGACACUGACGCUGAGGUGCGAAAGCGUGGGUAGCAAACAGGAUUAGAUACCCUAGUAGUC